Molecule: RNA transcript, 3030 nt
Organism: Cygnus olor (mute swan)
Lineage: Eukaryota; Metazoa; Chordata; Aves; Anseriformes; Anatidae
Exons: 6
Source: RefSeq, a predicted model, not a curated record
CCCUCCUUAUUAACUACACCCUAAGCGUGGGUCCGGAGAUGGUGCUCUAUUACCAUUCUGCAGAGGUGGAAUGCGUGAUUGCUGAUAUUGAAAUACCAGAAGCAACUGGCUACUGCGAUGAAGAAAACCUGUACCUAGCCAUUCCCGUUUUUGGCCUGCACCAGUACUGGAACCUGUAUCUUGGUGCCAAGCUUUUGAACCGGCACACAGCGCUCACAAAUGGGUACCUUGCAGCUAGCAACUCUACCCACCUGGUCCUGCAAAUACCUCUCUUUGCUGUGGGAGUUACCUAUGAGGUACAUGAACUGCAUAACAGCCUUCUUUGAAGCACAUAGGACUAUGCUCAUAAAGGCACAGCCCUGCAGUCAGUUUGUAGUGCUGCAGUAUUAUGUGUGCUGGAAAACCUCUAGAGGGAAUGACUCUAAGCCAGUGCAAGAAGGACAAGACGUAACAGACACAGACCCUUCUGGUAAUGUCAUAUAUUAUGUAAUCUGCAGUGCUGAGUUGUCUCUAAAAGAUACGCACCAAGUCUUCAACAACAAAUUCCUCUGUAUUUUUAGUAAGAUGAGGCAAAAUGUCCCAAACCGAGCCAGAAACAGUAUUUCAAUAUAGCUUUUAUGAAAGAAACUCUUUUAAAGGAACAUUUUGUAGAAAUGUUAAAUUACAGCAGGGAAAAUUGAUGUGGUAAUAAAUAUCUGAAGCAUUCUACAAUAAUCAGCCAGAAUUUAUCUCUCUGUGACAGUAACAAAUUAAUUUGUACCAGAAAACUCCUGUUCCUGUGCUGCAUGAGGUUUGAGUCGUUACAUUGACUUAACUCUCGUGACUUGUUGGUGUUCAAGUAGCACAAGCUGAAGAGCAGAAUUUUGUACGUAUUGAUCAUGUGCCUUAACAGGAGAUCUCUUCCAACCCCUCCUUCACAGGAAGUGUCCUUUCAGAAAAUUAAAGCAAGGUUCGAUGUUGCCCUAAAGAAAGUGAGAACUAUGGAGACCUUGCAGAUAUUCUCCGUUAGCUGCAAUUUUAAUUCCUCGGCAUUUAUAAGUAAGUUGUACAAAGGAUCAAUCAACAAAAAGAUCUGUAAGUCUUCCCAUGAGUUUAUAACCAACUCUCUGAUUUCCUCAGUAUGCCACCCAGAUGGUACUAUAAUGAUAUCUGCCCAAAUGAAGACAGUUCCUGCCAUUGAUAUGAGUAAAACCAAACUAAGGGAUAGCUCAUGCAAGCCUAAAGAGUAUAACAAAGGACAUGCCUUCUUCAUGUUCCAUGUCACCACCUGUGGCACUUCAGUAAGGGUAAGCCCACGGCCAGAGCAAAUACAUCUGCUGGAAGUCUCUGUCUCUCCUGCAUUUCCUCUUUCGUUGCCCUGCCCCAGCUCCUGAGAAGAUUCAGUUUUUAAUGAGCUUCCCAUAUGCACAGUUUGAAGGUGAUCACAUUGUUUACGAAAAUGAAAUCUCUUAUGAGAAAGAGACUCUUCCAGGCCAGAGCCAACCGAAAAUCACAAGAGAUCCAGACUACAGGUAGGAUCAGCUACUGCUCACUGACAACGCUCACUUUGGUGCUUUGGUGCUUGAAGGUGAACACAAAAAUUACCCUUUUUCCUAUUAUAGAUUAACAGUCUCGUGCUACUACCGAGCAAAAGAGACAGUGAUGCUAGGUGCCUUCAUUAGUGAGCCAUCCACAUCGCGUCCCUUUGGCUCCGGUACAAUGGUGCCAAGAUCAAAUACUGCAGUAUACAGAAGGAUAAGAAAAGCCCUGAAUGUAGUUUCAAGAGUGUCCAAAAAUGAAGCUUUCAUGGAUUUCUAUGAGCCCAACGAGGCAAUACUCAAGCGACCCAUGGAGUCUGUGUUUCUCGAGGUGGAGCUGAAAGAUGAGAGACCUGACGCUGAGUUAUACCUGGAUAACUGCUGGGUGACAGGGUCUCUGGACUUCAACAGCACCCCAAGAUGGAACAUCACCGUGGAUGGGCAAGUAGUUAUUGAACAACCAAUACGUUUAUCAGAGAAACACUGAUUUCUUCUAGAACUUUUGGUCUGUUCUCUCAAAUAGGUGUAAGAUUAACAGCAGUGAGUAUGUUGCGGAGUUCUGCUCCGUAGCUGCUAGCCCCAGAGUGAGACAUCCUUCUCAUUUUAAAAGGCUAGCAGUGAGGACCCUGACACAUCAACUGGAACUGGUGUAUGUGCACUGUUUGGUGGCAGUCUGCUCUCCUGGCAGCCCCUGCAGAGGACAGUGCAGCCCAAGCAAGGAGAGGAAUGGUCACCGUUCAGCCAGCCUCCGGGGUUACGUACUUGCUGGACCAGUCCAGAUUGUCGAUCCAGAUCUAAGAUGAAGCACAUAAACUGAAUUUGGUAAGAACUCCAGGCACCGUGAAUUCACCUAGACAGGUCACCAUGCUUUGUGGCACAACCGAUACAUAGCCUGUCCUUUGAGACCUUAGGUUCUGGGACAGUCUCCAUUUUGAUCUCCUAUCUUCUCCAUUUUGAUCUCUUAUCUUUUCAAAAGCAUUUCGGGGCAGAGGCAAGAACUAGGGAACAGGCAGGGUUUGCAGUCUCCUGGUCUAAGCUUGACCCCUAGGAGAGGAAAGGAGUAGAGCAACCUGCCAGGUCAAACACAGGUGGUAUGGCUCUGGAGAAGGUGCCAGCAGUGGAGCAGUGCAAGCUGGAGUCGGGCUAUAGAAGGCAGUCUUGGAAAUUUGGAAGAUGUUAUUUCAUCGGGUUUUCAACUGGACUGCCCCCAGCAGUCAUCACGAUUCAGCUGAAAGAAAAUGGAUCCAAAAGUUUAGAAACAAACACAAAUUGCUGUCAUAUCCCAAAUUCUUUCCAAGGGUCCAAAUCCCCCAGCCUGUUAGGGUUUACCCUAUAGCUUCAUCAGUCUUUUGAGGACCAGAGCUAUUCAGCUGUGUACUCCAGCCUCACUCCUCUCUUCACCAUCUGUGUCCCCAACAGCACCUGAAGGCUCUGCUGUGCUGGCUGCUUUAUAAAUGUGCAGCUAGACAUGGGAAUUACCUCUUACAGUGAUCACUAGGAUUAUCUUGCUUGA